CUCACAAAGGAAGGUGUCUGGGUAUCAGAUUCUCUCUUCCCAGGAAGUGCCUUUGGAAAUUUACUUACUGCCUACUGAGAAGCCCUGCAAGCUGAAAGGCUAGCUCUGAAGGUAUGUUCAUCAACAUCGUAGAAGAAGAGGACACGUGUUUCGCACUGCACUCUUUAAGAGGAGAAACGGAAAUAACAGGGAAAAGUUUUUAAAACUUCAGCAGGUUUCCCUUUGCAGUUUCUGACUUAGCCAGAAGACAUCAGGCAAAAGGAACAUCUCCAUACUCGUCCUGAAUUCUUUUUUGCAUGAGAUCCAAGAACCCUCUCUUGUGGUCUGGAGCAGGACCCCUUUGUGCAUGCCUUGUAAUUUUUUGUUGAAAGCUGGACCUGAUAUACAGCAUAAAAGGAACCAAGAAUGGUACCUGUCAGGCCUCUGAGCCCAAGUUAAGCCAUCAUAUCCCCUGUGACCUGCACGUAUACAUCCAGAUGGCCUGAAGCAACUGAAGAUCCACAAAAGAAGUGAAAAUAGCCUUAACUGAUGACAUUCCACCAUUGUGAUUUGUUCCUGCCCCACCCUAACUGAUACGAUAUGUUCUCCCCUGACCUUAAGAAGGUACUUUGUAAUAUUCUCCCCACCCUUGUGAAUGUACUUUGUAUGCCUAUCCCAAAUCUAUAAGAACUAAUGAUAAUCCCACCACCCUUUGCUGAAUCCUUUUUCGGACUCAGCCCGCCCGCACCUAGGUGAAAUAAACAGCCUUG
This 749-nucleotide long non-coding RNA is filed under the name Homo sapiens (human). Its description in RNAcentral is "HSALNT0356101". Lineage: Eukaryota; Metazoa; Chordata; Mammalia; Primates; Hominidae. The record is from RNAcentral.